GAUUCUGGCUCAGGAUUAACGCUGGCGGCAUGCCUAAUACAUGCAAGUCGAAUGGUUAGCUUGCUAACCAUGGCGAACGGGUGAGUAACACGUAGGUAACCUGUCUUUAAGACGAGGAUAACCAUUGGAAACGAUGGAUAAUACUGGAUAGGACAAAUCCCCGCAUGAGGAGAUGUUUAAAGGAGCAAUCCACUUAGAGAGGGGCCUGCGGCGCAUUAGCUAGUUGGUGAGGUAAUGGCCCACCAAGGCGAUGAUGCGUAGCCGGACUGAGAGGUUGAACGGCCACAAUGGAACUGAGAACGGUCCAUACUCCUACGGGAGGCAGCAGUAGGGAAUUUUCGGCAAUGGGCGGAAGCCUGACCGAGCAAUGCCGCGUGAACGAUGAAGUAUUUCGGUAUGUAAAGUUCUUUUAUUUGGGAAGAAAAAACAAAUUGACUGUACCAAAUGAAUAAGCUCCGGCUAACUACGUGCCAGCCGCCGC
This 481-nucleotide ribosomal RNA is filed under the name uncultured bacterium. RNAcentral's name for it is "bacterial SSU rRNA". It matches the Rfam family "Bacterial small subunit ribosomal RNA", at positions 15 to 518 of the family's 1533-position model. The record is from RNAcentral.